RNAcentral lists this ribosomal RNA (1248 nucleotides) under metagenome. RNAcentral's name for it is "bacterial LSU rRNA". It matches the Rfam family "Bacterial large subunit ribosomal RNA", at positions 1634 to 2874 of the family's 2925-position model. The record is from RNAcentral.
AUAUACGACCGUACCGCAAACCGACACUGGUGCGCGAGAUGAGUAUUCUAAGGCGCUUGAGAGAACUCAGGAGAAGGAACUCGGCAAAUUGACACCGUAACUUCGGAAGAAGGUGUGCCCUAUUAGUGUGAAGUGAACAACGGAGCAUGAAUGGGUUGCAAAGAAUCGGUGGCUGCGACUGUUUAUUAAAAACACAGCACUCUGCAAACACGAAAGUGGACGUAUAGGGUGUGACGCCUGCCCGGUGCUGGAAGAUUAAAUGAUGGGGUGCAAGCUCUUGAUUGAAGUCCCAGUAAACGGCGGCCGUAACGAUAACGGUCCUAAGGUAGCGAAAUUCCUUGUCGGGUAAGUUCCGACCUGCACGAAUGGCGUAACGAUGGCCACACUGUCUCCUCCUGAGACUCAGCGAAGUUGAAAUGUUUGUGAUGAUGCAAUCUCCCCGCGGAAAGACGGAAAGACCCCAUGAACCUUUACUGUAGCUUUGUAUUGGACUUUGAACAGAUCUGUGUAGGAUAGGUGGGAGGCUUUGAAGCAGGGUCGCUAGAUCUUGUGGAGCCAACGUUGAAAUACCACCCUGGUGUGUUUGAGGUUCUAACCUAGGUCCAUUAUCUGGAUCGGGGACAGUGCAUGGUAGGCAGUUUGACUGGGGCGGUCUCCUCCCAAAGCGUAACGGAGGAGUUCGAAGGUACGCUAGUUACGGUCGGACAUCGUGACGAUAGUGCAAUGGCAUAAGCGUGCUUAACUGCGAGACUGACAAGUCGAGCAGAUGCGAAAGCAGGACAUAGUGAUCCGGUGGUUCUGUAUGGAAGGGCCAUCGCUCAACGGAUAAAAGGUACUCUGGGGAUAACAGGCUGAUACCGCCCAAGAGUUCAUAUCGACGGCGGUGUUUGGUACCUCGAUGUCGGCUCAUCUCAUCCUGGGGCUGUAGCCGGUCCCAAGGGUAUGGCUGUUCGCCAUUUAAAGGGGUACGUGAGCUGGGUUUAAAACGUCGUGAGACAGUUUGGUCCCUAUCUUCCGUGGGCGCUGCAGAUUUGAGGAAGCCUGCUCCUAGUACGAGAGGACCGGAGUGGACACACCUCUGGUGUAUCGGUUGUCACGCCAGUGGCAUUGCCGAGUAGCUAAGUGUGGAAGAGAUAACCGCUGAAAGCAUCUAAGCGGGAAACUCGUUUCAAGAUGAGAUCUGCCGGGGCCUUGAGCCCCCUGAAGAGUCGUUCAAGACCAGGACGUUGAUAGGUCAGGUGUGGAAGC